UACGAAGGGUGCUAGCGUUGUUCGGAAUCACUGGGCGUAAAGCGCGCGUAGGCGGCUUCCCAAGUCAGGGGUGAAAUCCUGAGGCUUAACCUCAGAAUUGCCUUUGAAACUGUGAAGCUAGAGUAUUGGAGGGGUUGGCGGAAUUCCUAAUGUAGAGGUGAAAUUCGUAGAUAUUAGGAGGAACACCGGUGGCGAAGGCGGCCAACUGGACAAUAACUGACGCUGAGACGCGAAAGCGUGGGGAGCAAACAGG
This 253-nucleotide ribosomal RNA is filed under the name uncultured bacterium. RNAcentral describes it as "partial 16S ribosomal RNA". It matches the Rfam family "Bacterial small subunit ribosomal RNA", at positions 524 to 776 of the family's 1533-position model. The record is from RNAcentral.